This 464-nucleotide ribosomal RNA is filed under the name uncultured bacterium. RNAcentral describes it as "partial 16S ribosomal RNA". It matches the Rfam family "Bacterial small subunit ribosomal RNA", at positions 28 to 507 of the family's 1533-position model. The record is from RNAcentral.
GACGAACGCUGGCGGCGUGCUUAACACAUGCAAGUCGAACGGAAAGGCCCAGCUUGCUGGGUGCUCGAGUGGCGAGCGGGUGAGUAACACGUGGGUGAUCUGCCUCUAACUUCGGGAUAAGCUUGGGAAACUGGGUCUAAUACCGGAUAGGACAAUCGUUUAGUGUCGGUUGUGGAAAGUUUUUUCGGUUAGGGAUGAGCCCGCGGCCUAUCAGCUUGUUGGUGGGGUAAUGGCCUACCAAGGCGUCGACGGGUAGCCGGCCUGAGAGGGUGGACGGCCACAUUGGGACUGAGAUACGGCCCAGACUCCUACGGGAGGCAGCAGUGGGGAAUAUUGCACAAUGGGCGGAAGCCUGAUGCAGCGACGCCGCGUGGGGGAUGACGGCCUUCGGGUUGUAAACCGCUUUCGACAGGGACGAAGCGUUGGUGUCGGUACCUGUAUAAGAAGCACCGGCUAACUACGUG